Molecule: long non-coding RNA, 951 nt
Organism: Caretta caretta (loggerhead turtle)
Lineage: Eukaryota; Metazoa; Chordata; Testudines; Cheloniidae
Source: RefSeq, a predicted model, not a curated record
ACCCCAUGCGCUGCAGCUUGCUGUGAAUGGAGAGCUGGCUGCUAGAAGGGGGUGGCACUGUGAGUGGGGAACAAGUAUGCCCAAGGAGUUAGAAGGCUUUGGCCCAGAUAGCACCCUCAGAAGACUUCCUCAGACUGGAUUAGGGAUGCUGGUGUGACCUCACCUGGCAGCCCCCAAAGAAGGAACUGGGUGGAAUGAAUGGACAGUGCACCUCUCUAUCUGAAACCUAGCAGGGGAGGACAGUCUUGUAAGAUAUCCUCCAAUCACACAAGCUGAAAAUUGUUCCACUUGACUGCAGUUCUGUAACCAUGCAGGAACGAAUUCCGUCUGUGUUUUGCGCAUGUCCAAAAUUCCUGCUGAAUUCAGAAGUGCCUUGCUUUUGUGACCACACAACCUGAUAUUUUCAGCCCUGAUGUGGCCAGAGUGAUCACGGAAAGAAGAAAAAUAGGAAAUGAAGGAGAGAGUGAGGAAAAAGAGGAGAGGCAAGAAACAAUGAUGAGGAAUGGGAGAGGCAAACAGUGGAAGUUGCUUUGGGCGUCGGCUGCAGCACUUUCUAGGGUCAAAUGUGCCUCCAAAUAUUUUCUGCAUUACAGAUGUUUUGAUAAAAGAGCCUGGGUUUGACAGUCCUUCUGUUCAGUGCAGAAGCCACUUACUGCUUCCUGAUUCUGCAUAAGGCCCAACACCAGUGAGUUAAGGCAGCUUCGGAUCUUCUCUAAUUUACCCGACUGGUGUAAUGUCAGUGAAGGAUUGGUGGAGUGAAGCAUCACCAUGCUGCUGGCAUGCUUCUCCUUCCCUCGGCAUACAUCUUUCACCAGCGGGGCCAGGCAGGAGAGGGCAAGGCAUCUGGAAGUCAUCAGGCAAGCAGGGCCCACUGCUUGAUGUACCAGCCAGUAAGAAGCAGCAGCUAAGGUGAGAGUGAGAAAGACAGUGAUUUUAUUUAUCUCAUGGAUC